UGGGGGAUAUUGCACAAUGGGCGAAAGCCUGAUGCAGCGACGCCGCGUGGGGGAUGAAGGCUUUCGGGUUGUAAACCUCUUUCGCUAUCGAACAAGGCCCGCUUAGGGUGGGUUGAGGGUAGGUGGAGAAGAAGCGCCGGCUAACUACGUGCCAGCAGCCGCGGUAAUACGUAGGGCGCGAGCGUUGUCCGGAAUUAUUGGGCGUAAAGGGCUUGUAGGCGGCUUGUUGCGCCUGCUGUGAAAACGCGGGGCGUAACUUCGCGCGUGCAGGGGGUACGGGCAGGCGUGAGUGUGGUAGGGGUGACUGGAAUUCCAGGUGUAGCGGUGGGAUGCGCAGAUAUCUGGAGGACCACCGAUGGCGAAGGCAGGUCACUGGGCCAUUACUGACGCUGAGGAGCGAAAGCAUGGGUAGCGAACAGG
This 420-nucleotide ribosomal RNA is filed under the name bacterium. RNAcentral's name for it is "partial 16S ribosomal RNA". It matches the Rfam family "Bacterial small subunit ribosomal RNA", at positions 355 to 776 of the family's 1533-position model. The record is from RNAcentral.